This 554-nucleotide ribosomal RNA is filed under the name uncultured bacterium. Its description in RNAcentral is "bacterial SSU rRNA". It matches the Rfam family "Bacterial small subunit ribosomal RNA", at positions 38 to 572 of the family's 1533-position model. The record is from RNAcentral.
GGCCGCGUCGACGAACGAAGCACCUGAACGGAUUUCUUCGGAUUGAAGUUCUUGUGACUGAGUGGCGGACGGGUGAGUAACGCGUGGGUAACCUGCCUCAUACAGGGGGAUAACAGUUAGAAAUGACUGCUAAUACCGCAUAAGCGCACAGCUUCGCAUGAAGCAGUGUGAAAAACUCCGGUGGUAUGAGAUGGACCCGCGUUCAGAUUAGCUAGUUGGCAGGGUAACGGCUACCAAGGCGACGAUCUGUAGCCGACCUGAGAGGGUGACCGGCCACGAUUGGGACUGAGACACGGCCCAAACGUCCUACGGGAGGCAGCGAGUGGGGAAUAGUUGCGACAAUGGGGAAGCUGGAACCAGGCCAAGUGCGUGAAGGAUGAAGGUUCUAUGGAUUGUAAACUUCGUUUAUACGGGUAAUAACGGGUUCUCGAACGGUGUGGGAACUGGUGCGAGUGUACCGUAUGAAUAGCAUCGGUCUAACGUCGUGCCAGCAGCCGUGGUAAUACGGAGGAUGGCGAGCGUUAUCCGGUAUUUAGUGGGUUUAAAGGNUCCGG